RNAcentral lists this ribosomal RNA (301 nucleotides) under uncultured bacterium. Its description in RNAcentral is "partial 16S ribosomal RNA". It matches the Rfam family "Bacterial small subunit ribosomal RNA", at positions 509 to 807 of the family's 1533-position model. The record is from RNAcentral.
CAGUAGCCACGGGAAUACAGAGGGUGCGAGCGUUAAUCGGAUUUACUGGGCGUAAAGCGUGCGUAGGCGGCUUUUUAAGUCGGAUGUGAAAUCCCUGAGCUUAACUUAGGAAUUGCAUUCGAUACUGGGAAGCUAGAGUAUGGGAGAGGAUGGUAGAAUUCCAGGUGUAGCGGUGAAAUGCGUAGAGAUCUGGAGGAAUACCGAUGGCGAAGGCAGCCAUCUGGCCUAAUACUGACGCUGAGGUACUAAAGCAUGGAGAGCAAACAGGAUUAGAUACCCGAGUAGUCCCUGUCUCUUAUAC